UACGUAGGGUGCGAGCGUUAAUCGGAAUUACUGGGCGUAAAGCGUGCGCAGGCGGUUAUGUAGGACAGGUGUGAAAUCCCCGGGCUUAACCUGGGAACUGCAUUUGUGACUGCAUAGCUAGAGUACGGUAGAGGGGGAUGGAAUUCCGCGUGUAGCAGUGAAAUGCGUAGAUAUGCGGAGGAACACCGAUGGCGAAGGCAAUCCCCUGGACCUGUACUGACGCUCAUGCACGAAAGCGUGGGGAGCAAACAGG
RNAcentral lists this ribosomal RNA (253 nucleotides) under uncultured bacterium. RNAcentral describes it as "partial 16S ribosomal RNA". It matches the Rfam family "Bacterial small subunit ribosomal RNA", at positions 524 to 776 of the family's 1533-position model. The record is from RNAcentral.